RNAcentral lists this long non-coding RNA (1131 nucleotides) under Helianthus annuus (common sunflower). RNAcentral describes it as "hypothetical non coding rna". Lineage: Eukaryota; Viridiplantae; Streptophyta; Magnoliopsida; Asterales; Asteraceae. The record is from RNAcentral.
UUCAUUUCCUUCCUUCUUUCUCUCUUUCGCUGUCUCUACAAAUUAAUUCUUUUAUUAUCUUUUUUUUUUCUUAAAUAUUAACUUUAUAAUGAUAUGCCCCGUUUUAAGUAUUUUAACCCUUGACCACUGAUGCCCUGUCCGACUGACGUAGGGCCCCGUAACGUAUGUCAAGGCUCUGCCUAAAUUCGUUGGGGUUCUGUCUCGUGACGUAGGGAUAAAGUGUAAUUGGGUUACUAUACUUAAUGUGAGUGCACUAUAUAUGUUAUUAAAUAACUCAGGAGUGAUACCCAAAAUAUAACAACCCUCCUAAAACACCCUUGACACCCCUACACUUCCUAAAAUACACCCUGUAUGUGAAAAACAAGCCCGAAAUACAAUAUAUAAAUUAAAAACAAGAAAUAGUAAGUUGAGGCGGGCCGCGUAGACCCACCCCAACCAUUCACGCGGGCCGUAUGAGGGUUAUACCGGAUUCCCUUGAUUUCUUAAGUUCAAGCGGGCCGCGUAAAGAUCCCCGUUAGUUUACGCGGGCCGCGCGUGUUCCAAAUGGUGGCGCAACUCUGAGCUGACACGUGUCGAUAUCGUGUCGAGUCUACUUGGUGACCAGGCUAAGCUACGCAGUUGACCGGAGUCAACGCGGGCCGCGUAAGCCCAGUCCAUAUUUUACGCGGGCCGCGAGAGAGUCCAGUAUCAGCCCUAUAAAUUGGAUCGUCGAGCCUUCAGUCUGCUUCGUUCAAAAUCAAUUCUUUCUCUCUCAAAAUUAAAUAGUGGGCAUUAUACGCGGGUAUUAUACCCCCUAAUUAGCGAAGCUCUGCCUCGUUAUUAUAACCAGGAAGCCACAAAGGAAAUACCUAAAAUAGCAAUGUGAGUUGAUCCACUUUUUGUUAAAUGUUUUUACAAAACCUUGCAUACUUUUCUAUGCAAAUAACAGUUAUUGAGUAUUUGUAACUUAGUAUGAAGCACAUAAAAGCCAGCUGGAGAGCACUGAAGGCUUAGAAAAGUGGCUAUAAAAGUUACCUAAAUAAAAGAAAGUGUUUACUUCAAUAAAAUGGGAUUUAUCCCUGUAAAUCAGUUUGUAAUGAAAACUUGGGUUUUACCCAUGUGAUUAUAAAAAUAAAAAUGUGGUGGUUUACU